UGAGGAAUAUUGCUCAAUGGGCGAAAGCCUGAAGCAGCAACGCCGCGUGCGCGAUGAAGGUCUUCGGAUCGUAAAGCGCUUUUGAGAGGGACGAGAUAGGACGGUACCUCUUGAAUAAGUCACGGCUAACUACGUGCCAGCAGCCGCGGUAAAACGUAGGUGGCAAGCGUUAUCCGGAUUCACUGGGCGUAGAGCGCGUGCAGGUGGCUUCGUAAGUUGGACGUUAAAUCUUUCGGCCUAACCGGGAGGUGUCGUUCAAUACUGCGGGGCUUGAGGGUAGAAGAGGGGGGUGGAAUUGCCGGUGUAGUGGUGAAAUGCGUAGAUAUCGGCAGGAACACCUGUGGCGAAAGCGGCCCCCUGGUCUGCUCCUGACACUCAGACGCGAAAGCUAGGGGAGUGAACG
RNAcentral lists this ribosomal RNA (403 nucleotides) under uncultured bacterium. RNAcentral's name for it is "bacterial SSU rRNA". It matches the Rfam family "Bacterial small subunit ribosomal RNA", at positions 355 to 774 of the family's 1533-position model. The record is from RNAcentral.